This is an unclassified non-coding RNA of Anser brachyrhynchus (Pink-footed goose), 163 nucleotides long. NCBI's taxonomy places the organism in Eukaryota, Metazoa, Chordata, Aves, Anseriformes, Anatidae. The record is from Ensembl.
UUCAUAAUGCUGGAGACUGAAGUUCUGUAUUUAUUCACAGAGCAGAUACAGCAUGGAAAGCGGCUGUGCAAUGUCCCUGUUUGUCUAAACCCUGACUUGGAGGGACCACCACUAAGAAUCAGAGGUUAGUGCCCCGUCCUUUUGACCUGAUCUCUCUGCUAAG